RNAcentral lists this long non-coding RNA (579 nucleotides) under Homo sapiens (human). RNAcentral's name for it is "non-protein coding lnc-ZCCHC7-2:9". Lineage: Eukaryota; Metazoa; Chordata; Mammalia; Primates; Hominidae. The record is from RNAcentral.
GGACGCGGCCUCCUUACCUCAUUUGUCCUCGCCCCUCCCCGUCCCUCUACGCGUUUUGGUCCCUGUUUGGUGCUUUCUGUUUGCAGCUACGGCAAUCUGGGCAUAGGAACCAAUCAGAAACAAUCGCUUCAGCAAUCAAGACCAUUGUUCAUCAUGGAGGAACCCAUGGAUACCUCUGAGCCUCUAUCUGCAUUACCAUUCACUGGGCAGCAGUCUUUUGAGCCAAGUGGCAAAUUUGGACAGUAUCCAUCGAUGCAGAUGAACCACAUCCAGGCACUGGGGAAGUGGAGGACAUAGAACAGCUCAAUCAGUGUUUGAUCCAACACUUCCAUCUCAUUAAGACAAGUUUGAUUUUUCUUUGCUUUUUAUUUCAUGGAAUACAUGAGAAUCUCUUAACUGUUGGAGUUUCCAAGGAGGCAUACCUCAUGACUUCAGUUAAUGGAAAGAACAAAACUAAAAUGCUGUAUGGCCAAAGCCACAAAGGGAAGGAUCCACAAUUUACAUUCUUGGAGCUAUCAUCUGUACUGUACUGUUGUGAUCUACUGAUUGGCAUUGGCAUAGUAGUAGGGGUCAAGUGAC